Homo sapiens (human) is the source of this 6695-nucleotide long non-coding RNA. RefSeq annotates it as SCUBE3 divergent transcript. Lineage: Eukaryota; Metazoa; Chordata; Mammalia; Primates; Hominidae. The transcript is spliced from 2 exons. The record is from RefSeq and is a predicted model, not a curated record.
GCCUGGUCUCCAUGGAGACGGCUUCCCCGGGAGCAGGGAGGUCAGGCGCAGACCGCGCGCAAUCAAUGGAUCAAUGCAAGCUCCGCUCGGCUCCAGACCAAACAGCACCGGGCUCCGACUCGUCCUCGCUCCCCUAGGAAAGAGUCGGGGAGCGAGGGUGCGUCCCCGCGCUCGCUCGCGAGGACGGCCGUGCGGCGCCAGGUUUGAACGCACACCUCCACCCGAGACAAAGAGGGUGCGAGGUGUUGGGGAGGCUGGGGCAGACGUGGACACACGGACACACGGGCACUCGGGCGUGUCCACCGACACAGCCUGACAGGGGACAUAGGACCUCGGAACACACCGCCUCCGACACCAGGCCGAGUAACAACCUCUCAACUUUUACACCUACCACACCCCCAACCUCAAGACUCAGUCCCCAUUCCUAGAUGCGAGUCCACUUUGAGGACCAAAAAGAAAGUAGCCUCCGCCUGCUAAAACUGCCAGCUCCAGGGCAGACUCCCUUGCAGUUAAGGCCUUGGAGGUAAGCCUAAUGAACCACCCUACCCGCAGAGACAUGGACUCACAUACAGACACUCUCAUGUGGUCAGCACAGGGGCGAAAGCUACCCCACAGAAUCAUGUCUAUGUGUAUAAACACAGAGACAUAGAGACAGGUACAAGAGGCUCCUCCAAACCUGCACCCCGCUUCAAGAGGUGGUCCUGACUGGUCCAUUCUGAACCCUUCAUCCUUCCAACUGAGGGGAAGCAGAGGAAAGAGAAAGGAUAUUUUUAAAACAGGGGCAAACCGCAGAAGGAGCAGGGUCUUCCAACCAUGGAUGCUGCCUCUUGACUGUUCACCCACUCUGUAUCUUCUUUCCUUCCAUUGUAAGGGAAAGAGGAAAGACCUCUUGAAAGGCUAUGAAGACUUUCUUGGAGUGUGAGGCUGUGUUCAGAAUGAGACCAGGCCAGGUCCAGUUUUCUACAGGGAAGAUGCUGCUAGGACCCAGACUAGCCUCACAGAGCCCUCAGCGUACCCAGGAGGAAGAGGCAAUGACCAAGAUCUCCUCAAAGAACGUAAGCUCCAUCAGAGCAGGGACCAUGUCUGGCUUGUUCACUAUCGUGUCCUCAUCAUCUCCUGUACUGCCUGCCACAUGGUAGGUCCUCGGUGAUUACCUGUGGAAUGAAUGAAUAAGGGUGGCAGGAGUUCAGAGAGGGAGAGGGACUCUUCUGGAAGGUUAAGGGAAGGUUUCCUGGGCAUGCUGAGGCUUGAAGCUUGGGUAGGAGGUGGGGAGGGUAAUCUGGGACAGAAUUUAGGGGAUGGCAGAAGCAGGGGCCUAAAGAAUUUCACAGUGGCCAAAAUGUGCUGCAAUUAACCCAAGUGACAUCCAGGCAGCAGGAACUUGUCAUGGGGCAGAAGAACAAGUCUGAUGUGAAUAUGAUUCUCAGUCUGAGUGGAUCCAAGGGGGUGAAGUAGUUGAGUCCCCUAAGUUGUUGAGGAAGUAGGGAGGGAAAUCAGUUAGGCUAGAGCCUAGCAAAACCAGGGCCAAACCAGGGAGGGUUUGAUUGCUGAGACUGGAGUAUGGAAUUGGCUGAGCCACUGAAAGGUGAUGAUUAUUCCUCCCCUGGUAUCUGAUGUUGGUGAUCUUGACUUCUCUGAUCCCCUCGGAUCCCCAGAACCAGCUCUGUGAUCCUAAGUGAAGUCAAGGGACUGACCGGACACAUGAACCUAGAUCUCUGCAAAGAGCCCUGGGACCCAAAUGGGAGAGGUCCAGGGCCUGGUUCCAUCAUCCCUCCCUCUCUUGAUGUGUGGCCUUGCUCAAGGCGUUGGACUGCAGUGGACCUCCAUGUCCUUCUUUUGGAAAACAGAGUUAACAAUACCUGCCCCAUUCAGAGGAGAAAUGAGGUCAUGUUUGUGCAGCACAGUGAGCUCACUGGAGACAAUGAGUGUAUUCUUCUUAACAGUAACAAUAAUAAUCAUUACUGAAAAUCUAACCAGUAAAUAUAUCUCCUCAAAGCUGGAGUUGGCCCCUCAGUAGGAUAGCAAUUAAAGUUUUUUUAAAAAUCUCUAGAUGGGGAAAUUUUCUGGCUGCAUUUUGAUCUCUGGGGUUUGCAGAGUUGAUAUCAUUGUGGGAGGGAGAGAGGCCUGCAGCAAUCAUUCAUCUCAAUUCCAUUCAAUUGUACUUUUUGUAUCUCCCUUGUCCUUGAGUUCUAUCCACUGGGCUUUGCAAUUUCUCAUCCUCUAUUAGUCCUGAGGGAAAGAAGUCCCUAAAUUCCGCAUCUCCACACUCACCCGCUGUCCCAUUCACUGACAUAAACAGUGACCUGGCUACUGGAGAUCCUGGGCAUUCGAGCAUUGGCCACAAACUAUCCUGCAAAGAAAGUGGUCUGUCUUGGGUACAUGAUUCUCUUUCCUGCUCAUCCCACUUAGUGGGCCAGUGAUUCCCAAGCCGAGCUGUGCAUUCAAAGCCCCCAGGAGUGGGUCCAUGGAUUAUCAGGUGAUUCUAAUUUAGCCAGCCUAGCACCUGUCUGAAUUUGAGAAUUGCAAGGUUUUCAACCAUUAGUUGUUAAAUGUGUGUACAAGGAGCAGAGUGAUGCUAAUACAAAGGCAUUGUUGCAGUUUGGGUCAAGCUGGCAAAAGACCGUCUCUCCUGCUACAAUACACAAAAUGACAGAAAAACUCUUGGAACAAAUAAAAUAGUAAAUCCAAUAUCGUGUGAUAAAACAGAGAACCAUCAGCAGAUCAGAAAUGUUGGAUCUGUGAGAGAGAAAGAUAAAUGGCAUCAAAGCUAUAAAGAGGCCGGGCGCGGUGGCUCACGCCUUUAAUCCCAGCACUUUGGGAGGCCGAGGCAGGCAGAUCACUUGAGGUCAGGAGUUCAAGACCAGCCUGGCCAACAUGGCAAAACCUCGUCUCUACUAAAAAUACAAAAAAAAUUAGCCAGGUAUGGUGGCGUGCGCCUAUAAUCCCAGCUACUCAGGAGGCUGAGGCAGGAGAAUCGCUUGAAUGCGGGUGGAGGUUGCAGUGAGCCAAGAACAUGCCACUGCACUCCAGCCUGGGCGACAGAGCAAGAUUCUGUCUCAGGAGAAAAAAAAAAAAAGCUAUAAAGAAAUAAAACUGAAGGAAACCACAGCUAAAACAUGCAGGAGAAGACUGCUAUGGAGAAAAGAGUGGUUUGGGGGACUCCAAGCCUGAGUCAACAGACUCAAAGAAACCAGAGGAGGUCCCAGGGAUAUUCCUGAACACCAGUGCUCAACAGCUAGCAGCAGUGGAUUUGCCCCAAGGUGCUGGGCUAGAGAGGUAAGCAAUACUCCAAGUAGCUACUGACACUCUGGGAGAGGAAUAGGGAGCCCUCAGCCAGGAGAAAGACUGUCAGCAGGCCACUCACCUCUCUCCCACUCCCCGUAACAGAGACAGGCUACAGUGAACAGAAAGCUGGCAAAUUAAGGAUGAGCAGAACAUCAAUAAUCACCAAAAAUUUAAUGAAAAAUAUAACCAUGACAGGGAGUAGCCCCAAGCCAAUAUUAUCCAAUAGAACUUUCUGCAGUGAUGGAAAUGUUCUAUAUUUGAGCUGUCCAAUAUGUAGCCACAUACCACAUGUGGCUAUUGAGCACUUGAAGUGUGGCAUCCGCAACUGAAAAACUGAAUUUUUAAUUUAGUUUUAAUUAAAUUUAAGCAGCAAGGCUCUACUGUAUUGGAUAGCAUAGCUCUAAACUUAACAUAUGGAAGAGUUAAUGCCCAAAGUAACAGAGAUAAUAGAGCAAACAAAAACAGAAACCAGUUUGGUUGAUGUAUAAUUGUUAUCUUCAAGAGAUGCAAAAUAAUAUUAAAUCCAUUUAAAAGAAUCAAUCAGGAGUCUAAGAAAUUUAAAAAUUGAUCAUUGAAAUUCAAAACUCAGUAGAUGGUCUAGAUAGGUUUAAUGAUCAGGAAGACUGUCCUGAGAAAGUCUCCUUAAGCACAUUAAAAAAGAUAAAAAGAUGGAAAGUCUGAGAGAAAAAAUUAAGAACCAUCUGUGGGAUAGGCAUUACAGAAAGCUAGAGCUUCAGAGAAUAGAAGAGGGAAAAUAAUUAAAGAACUAACAAAAGAAAAUUUCCCAAUUGCUGAAGAAAGAAGUUAAUCAUUAGCUUGACCUCUCCCAGGGAAAAAGACUCACACCUAGACAUAUUAUAGUAAAACUUCAUAACAACAAAAAUAAAGAAAAAAAAUCCUAGAAGCUUCUGGAGAGAAAAAAAGCAGGUCUUCAAUAGAAUAAUAUUAAAUUGGCAUCAGACUGGAUGUUAAAAGACAAUGAAAUAUUAUCUUCAAGGCCCUGAAGGGAAAUGAAGUAUUCAAGUGGGAGGAAAAAAUUAAGAUUUUUUUUUUUGUUUUACAAGAAGAAAGUUUGCCACCCUCGUAUUCCUUAAAGAAUUUCCAGAGGAGGUGCUUCAAUAGAAAAAUAGUGAAUUCAGGAAAGAGGAAGACGUGGGAUGCCGAAACUGUGGUGAACAAAGAAACGAGUAAAACUUUUAGUGAAGUCUGAGUAAUUAUUGAGGCAUAAUGUAAACAUUUUAAAAACAACAAUUUGGAGCAAUAAUCUACCCAGAUGAUCUCAACUUGGGAGGUGGCAGGUGGGGGAGGAGAAGGAGGAAAGUUAAAUAAUGCUACGGGAGAAAAAGUUCCUGAUCAGCUCUAGUCAUUUAUAGAAAACUAGAAGUUAAAGGAUUCAUCUGCCUCAGAGGGUAUGGAAGAAAAAAAAAAAAGCAGGAUUCAAAUUUAAAGGUAAUCAGCAGAAGAUGGAGAAUUGGAAAAUCAACUUCCAGAUCAAUAGAGCAAGUUAAAAAGAUGGGGAAGGGGGCAAAGAUCAGUCUAACAAAAAGCAGGGAAAGAGAGGAAAAAAGAUAAGAAGAAAACAAGGUGAAGAGGAAGCAUAAAAUAAAAUGACAGGACAAGUCUAAAGAUAUCAUUAAUAAUACAUGAGAAAAGAGAAAAUUCCCCAUUAAAGGGCAUCCUUCUAUACAUAUGAUUUUUACAGAGAUGUACUGAAACUGACAAGAUCAUUUUGAAUAUGAACAGAUGGGGGAAAUAUAUCAAGCAAAUAAUAACAAAAAGAAAGGAAGUAUAUUAGUAUCAGACAAAAUGAAAUCCAAAGACAAAAAGCAUUAAAAGAAACAAAGAAAGGCUGGGCAUGGUGGCUCAAGCCUGUAAUCCCAGCACUUUGGGAGGCUGGGGUGGGUGGAUCUCUUGAGGUCAGGAGUUCAAGACCAGCCUGGCCAACAUGGUGAAACCCCAUCUCUACUGAAAAUACACGCCUGUAGUCCCAGCUACUUGGGAGGCUGAGGUGGAAGGAUCGCUUGAGCUUGGGAAGCAGAGGUUGCAGUGAGCCGAGAUUGCACCACUGCACUCCAGCCAAAAAAAGAAAAAAACAAACAAAUAAAGAAGGAGAUAUAUUGGUGAAAAUUAUAAUCUUCCAAACACAUACAAUUUCCACGAUUCUUUAGGCACCUAACAACCCAGCUUCAAAAUAUGUAAAGUAAACACUGAUACAAACAAAGGAGAAAUGAACAAAUCUAUGGCUAUGGAUGAAAGCUUUAAUAGACCUGUCUCAGAAAUCUGUGGAUCAAGUGACAAAAGUCAUAAUGAAAAUAAUAGAGGAUUUGAGUGACACAAUUAAUCAACUUUAAUAAAUGUUAUAUCCAACAAAUUGAGAGACAUUUUUUUCAAAUACCUGUUUAGCAUUCACAAAAAGAAAUACUCAAAAAAAUUAUGAAAACGAUAUUACAUCAGCCAUUUUCUCUUUCUACAAUACAUAAGAAAAUAGCCUCAGGCUGGGCGCGGUGGCUCACACCUGUAAUCCCAGCACUUUGGGAGGCCGAGGCGGGCAGAUCAAGAGGUCAGGAGAUCGAGACCAUCCUGGCUAACAUAAGAAAAUAGCCUCAGGCUGGGCGCGGUGGCUCACACCUGUAAUCCCAGCACUUUGGGAGGCUGAGGCGGGCGGAUCAAGAAGUCAGGAGAUAGAGACCAUUCUGGCUAACAUGGUGAAACCCCAUCUCUACUAAAAAUACAAAAAAAUUAGCCAGGAGUGGUGGCGGGUGUCUGUAGUCCCAGCUACUCGGGAGGCUGAGGCAGGAGAAUGGCAUGAACCUGGGAGGCAGAGCUUGCAGUGAGCCGAGAUCACACCACUGCACUCCAGCCUGGGCGACAGAGCAGGACUCCGUAAAAAGAAAAGAAAAUAGCCUCAAAAUGCUGGGAUGUGAUGGCACUCCAUAUUUACCUGUAAAUGUAAACUAAUUUACAGGAAAUUCCCUGGAACCCAAAGCCUGGCUUAUCUCUGCUACAGCUCUGCUCUGGGGUGUACUUAUGAGUUUAAGUUUCACAAAUGAAUGUCACCUUCAUGGUAUCCCAGUAGGGGGAACAUUAUCUCUGCUCCCAGUAGUACUCAGCUUGGUAUUUAAAGCCCAGCCCCCACAAUCUAACCCCAGUCUUUCCUUUUUCACCUCUCCUGUUUCUCCAAAAUGCAAAAUGCCAUAAACUCUUGGUACACUCACCACCUCUUGGGUAUUCCCAGGAUAUCUGGGAGCCCAUACACUUGGUCCAUGACACUCAUCCUGUUGCUUAACUCAUGCCCCGUUACUUAACUCUUCCAUCUGUGCAAAGCUCUCCUUCUCAAACAGCAAACUGUGGAUCAAGGGUCAAAUCUGGCCUGACUCCUGUUUUAAUAAAUAAAGUUUUAUUGGAACCCA